This 780-nucleotide ribosomal RNA is filed under the name uncultured bacterium. Its description in RNAcentral is "bacterial SSU rRNA". It matches the Rfam family "Bacterial small subunit ribosomal RNA", at positions 623 to 1398 of the family's 1533-position model. The record is from RNAcentral.
GCUUUCGAUACGGGUUGACUUGAGGAAGGUAGGGGAGAAUGGAAUUCCUGGUGGAGCGGUGGAAUGCGCAGAUAUCAGGAGGAACACCAGUGGCGAAGGCGGUUCUCUGGGCCUUUCCUGACGCUGAGGAGCGAAAGCGUGGGGAGCGAACAGGCUUAGAUACCCUGGUAGUCCACGCUGUAAACGGUGGGUACUAGGUGUGGGGUCCAUUCCACGGGUUCCGUGCCGUAGCUAACGCUUUAAGUACCCCGCCUGGGGAGUACGGCCGCAAGGCUAAAACUCAAAGGAAUUGACGGGGCCCCGCACAAGCGGCGGAGCAUGCGGAUUAAUUCGAUGCAACGCGUAGAACCUUACCUGGGUUUGACAUGGAUCGGGAGUGCUCAGAGAUGGGUGUGCCUCUUUUGGGGUCGGUUCACAGGUGGUGCAUGGCUGUCGUCAGCUCGUGUCGUGAGAUGUUGGGUUAAGUCCCGCAACGAGCGCAACCCUUGUUCACUGUUGCCAGCACGUUAUGGUGGGGACUCAGUGGAGACCGCCGGGGUCAACUCGGAGGGAGGUGGGGAUGACGUCAAGUCAUCAUGCCCCUUAUGUCCAGGGCUUCACGCAUGCUACAAUGGCUGGUACAGAGAGUGGCGAGCCUGUGAGGGUGAGCGAAUCUCGGAAAGCCGGUCUCAGUUCGGAUUGGGGUCUGCAACUCGACCUCAUGAAGUCGGAGUCGCUAGUAAUCGCAGAUCAGCAACGCUGCGGUGAGUACGUUCCCGGGGCUUGCACUCACCGCCCGUC